GGUAGCUCACACCUGUAAUCCCAGCACUUUGGGAGGCCGAAGGUGGAAGGAUUGUUUGAGCCCAGGAGUUCAAGACCAGCCCGGGUAAAAUAGUGAAACUCCCCACCUCUCCAAAAAAAAAAAAAAAAAAAAAUCAGCCAGGCGUGGUGGCAAGCACCUGCGGUCCCAGCUACUCUGGAGGCUGAGGUGGGAGGAGGAUUGCUUGAGCCUGGGAGGUCGAGGCUUCAGUGAGCCGUGAGUGGGGCACUGCACUCCAGUUUGGGCAACAGAGUGAGACCUCGUCUCCAAAAGAACAAAAAAUUUAACGUAUUUAAAGCACUCAGAACAGCACCUGACACAUGGUAACCACAGUAACCAGGUAAGUUAUUUUCAUUUACAAAUUGAGAAAUGAGGCUUACGUAUGAAGUAACUUGUCUAGAACAGAUAGCAACUAGUGGAGGCAGAUUGGGAAAGUCUCUGCCUAAUCUGAAUCUCAAUCACUAUACCUGCCCCACCCUCUUCCUGUGUCUACAGGGAGCCUGUUAUGAUCCUAAUUGCCUUUAAAGCAUCAGAUGUAUUUAUUUGGUAGCAUCCUAUUACAAAGUGGCUGCUCUCUGGGCAUUUUUGUAAUUUUAAUGAAGUUGGUGAGGUCCUAUAACUUGUCUCUCAGACCAGGGGCAAGGCUUCUGGGAGAAGUCAGAAUGGAUGGCUUCAAGAUCCACCUCCUACUAAAUCCUACUUAUGGAAAAAUCAGUAGAAAUGAACUUCUGAACAUGUUUCAUUUGAGAUCUUUUCAGAUAUCCAAGUGGAGAUAAUUGUGAUUUGGUGUGGUAAGUGCUGUGUUAGUGGAAAGCACAGGGCACCAAGGGAGGUCUGAUUAGGGAUAGAUAAAGCUGCCGGCCAGGAUUAGGACAGGCGUGGCAAAAGCAGCAGGUCUUGGUGAAUGAGUAGGAGUUGGCCAGGUAGAAAAGUCUGGGGAAGUUGAGGGGAGCAUUCCAGACCAGGGCACUGGCGUGUACAAGGGAAUGGUAGUUUGAUGAUUCAGAGCCCUUUCUGGGAACCGGAGUAUAGGAUGGAAGGUAAGAAUGGAAUGGAGAUUGGGGGCAUAUUACGAAGAAGUGAUCUAAGAAGACACUUCUUAUCAACUAAGACAGACCCUAAGAUUAAAGAAACCAAAGUUAAAGUUACUUAUGGGUUGGGGGUUCAUCAUAUCCCUCCUAACUCUGAUUUACAACCCAAGACCACUACAACUCUGAUUGGACAGAGGACCGGCCUUACAAACAUUCUCUUCUGAUAAGCAACUGCAGACCUUAAGCCAGUUUCACCAGCUGAUAAAGGCGGUACACAGACUGUCUUUGGGUCCUGUGGUUCAUCUUUUGAUAUAAAGAGUCAAAUUCUACCUCAUUUUAAUGCUAAAAUUCUGCCCCAAAGUGAGCAUGGGAUGAGUGUUACAUAUAUGUUUACGCAUUGUGCAUGCACUCAGCUCCCCUCAUAAAUAUAUAUAGUCUUCCCCCACAAUCUGCUAAAUAUGUAUGACUCUUUUGUGUAAAUAUGGACCUUGUGAGGCAUAAAACCCAACCUGCUCCUUCCCUUCUCGAAGAGAAAACACAUUUGGUCCACACUGGAGAUUCUCUUCCUGGUUUGCAAACUAAUAUCACCGAUAAAGCUCUCCUUUUCUACUAUUUACCCAUUCUGGUGAUCUUUUGGACAAUAAAGGGUGAUGUUCCGAAGUAUCAGCAAGUCAUCAGAAUUUCUGAGCGGGGGAGAGAGGAGGUCAGCUUUGCACAUUAUUUAUUUAUUUAUUUUGAGACGGAGUUUUGCUUUUGUUGGUCAGGCUGGAGUGCAGUGGGGUCAUCUUGGCUCACUGCAGCCUCUGCCUCCCGGGUUCAAGCGAUUCUCCUGCCUCAGCCUCCCGAGUAGUUGGGAUUACAGGCAUGAGCCACCAUGCCUGGCUAAUUUUGUAUUUUUAGUAGAGAUGGGGUUUCACCAUGUUGGUCAGGCUAGUCUCAAACUCCUGACCUCACGUGAUCCACCUGCCUUGGCCUCCCAAAGUGCUGGGAUUACAGGUAUGAACCACUGCACCUGGCCGUAGCUUUGCACUUUAGAUGGUGCACUAGGAGGCAAGGAAGAGGAUGCGGUAGGCAGUCUCUGAGUUGUCCUUAAUGAUUUCACAUCCCAGUAUUCACACCCUGGUGUGAUUUCCUCCCGUUGAGUAUGGAUGGAAUUUAUUGAUUCCAUUCUAAUGAAUAGAAUAUGUUAGAAGUGACGGGUUGUCAUUUCUGAGAUUCGAUUACAAAAACUCCCUGUGGCUUCUGUUUUGGGCACCUUCUCUUGCUCUCUUGCUCACUUGCUCUUAGGGAACACAGCAGCCAUCUUGUGAACUGCCCUGUGGGUAGGUCUAUGUGUCAAAGAACAGAUGACUAAUCAACGGCUAGCAAGGACUUGAGGACUUCUAACAGCUGUGAGUGAGCUUGAAAGUAGAUCCUCCCCCAGGCAAGCCUUAGAAUGACUGCAGCCCCAGCCAACACCUGAUUGCAGCCAUGUGAGAGGCCCUAAGCCAGAGGACCCAGUUAAGCCAUACCCAGGUUCUUGACCCUCAGAAAGGGAGAUAAGUAAUAUUCGUGGUUUUAAGUUUUACCUAAUUUUAAGGUAAUUUGUUAGGCAGCAAUAGAUAACUAAUACAGAGGGAUUAGAAGCAAAGACAGAAGUAGAGAAAUUAGGAGAGGGUGGUGGUUGUAGGCCAUCUCUCUAAUAAUGAGAACCUGAAUUGUGCAGUGGCUGUGCAGGUGAAGAGCAGAAGAUGAAUUUGAGAUAUGUCUGGAAAAAGAACAGAAGACAUUUGGCAAUGGAGUUGGAUGUGGGAAGGAGGGAUAAGGCAGAGGAGAGAGCAAUGCCAGUGUUUGGUAAUGUGAGGGAUGGUAUUUGCUAGAGCUGCCAGCAUGCAGGUCACUGGGGAUGAGUUUUAAAAGUGGCUCCUUGAGAUUUCUGGCAACAACAAGAUAGAUCAACAAAGCAGACUCAAGGUUGGUCAAAGAAAACAGCCACUGUGAGCUGGGGAAGAAAUAAUGCAGAAAAAUAGAAUCAAGGAAGAGCUGGAGGGAAUUCUCUUUCCUGAGUUUGAUUUACUUGUCAAAGUGUAUGGUAUACCAUUCUCCUCUUCAUCUAGCCAUUCUCUCCACAAAUGUUUACUAAGUGCUUUCUCUGUGCUAGGCACUGGGGACAAACAAGUAAACACACAAGUCCCUGCCUUCAUACUGUUCAUAACUUGGUUGCAGAGAAACAGUAAGAUUGAGGCUAGGACUUUUUAGCCACUCCUGCAGGGCUCUGAGGGUCUAAAUCUGUGCUGUCUGUUAUGUUAGCCACCGGCUUCCUGUGGCUAUGAGACACUUGAAAUGUGGCCAGUCCAAAUUGAAUGUGUUAUAAGUGUAAAAUACACCCUAGAUUUCAAAGAUGUAGUUCAAAA
This 3442-nucleotide long non-coding RNA is filed under the name Homo sapiens (human). RNAcentral describes it as "non-protein coding lnc-AZIN2-3:1". The record is from RNAcentral. Lineage: Eukaryota; Metazoa; Chordata; Mammalia; Primates; Hominidae.